UGCACUGGUGUGGUAACUGCAUACAGCAGUUUAUUCCUGCUGGGGUAUUCAAAGGACAAUGCAAUAGAAAUUCAAUGUCUGGCAUUUUGUGUUUUCUUGGCUUUGUGUGUAUUAAGCUUGGUAUUUAUGUUGAUGUAGUA
This is a small nucleolar RNA of Oryctolagus cuniculus (rabbit), 140 nucleotides long. The record is from Ensembl. NCBI's taxonomy places the organism in Eukaryota, Metazoa, Chordata, Mammalia, Lagomorpha, Leporidae.